Molecule: transfer RNA, 75 nt
Filed under: Candidatus Peregrinibacteria bacterium
Lineage: Bacteria; Candidatus Peregrinibacteriota
Also listed under: 1 other name
Description: tRNA-Thr
Rfam family: tRNA
About the family: Transfer RNA (tRNA) molecules are approximately 80 nucleotides in length. Their secondary structure includes four short double-helical elements and three loops (D, anti-codon, and T loops).
Source: RNAcentral
GCCGCCCUAGCUCAGUGGUAGAGCACAUCCAUGGUAAGGAUGGGGUCACGAGUUCAAAUCUCGUGGGCGGCUCCA